AUUUUUUUUAAAUUUUUUGUUCUGUUGCAGGUGGGAAAGUGGAAAAAUAAAGGAAACCUCCUAGCCCUCGUUUCCUAAUAGCGUCGGAGGGGAGAAGUGUUUGUUACCAGGCAGCGAGACCGUGGGAUAGGGAUAGCGUUUAAAGGUGACAAGUAGGCUAAUAGGCGGCGACCCUGAUAUUGCCAGUACAGCGGCCGUGCUGACAGUUCUAUAGGCAGAAGUUAUAAGAAUUGAGAGUCUUCUAUUAAUGGCUUCUAGUAGCUUUUUGGACCACCCGCAUUCGGCAUAAUUCCUACCAGCAAAUCCUUUUCUAGAAAGACCCCUAGAUAUUUUGCGUAUGGAGCACUUGUUACGAGAGUGUCCUCAAUGGUAACUGUUAUAUCCUUCUUUUCUUCUUCCUUGAAGAGAUUCCAGUCGCGCUAUUCUGCUCCAUGACUUGGUUCCCUGUCAGUGGAGCUGAGCAGUAGGUUGCUGACGGUCGGGCGGGGCCUGCUCGGUCACCCGCGGCACUGACCGGUACUGGGGUGUCCCUCCCCUGCACCGUAACUUCUGUUCUUGGUCUAUGAUGGUUUGCUCAAUGUUUUCGCUCCAUCAGCAAGGCAUUUUAAAGUUCGUGUCUGCCCUGAGGUUUCGUCGAGAUGUUUGGUAGGAGUGUUGGAGAAAAAAUAGGAGCCCCCUAGCCCUCGAAACCUAAUAGCCUCGGGGGGGAAAAAGUGGCUGCCAUCAUGCAGCAAGCCGUAGGAUAAGGAUUACGUUAAAAGGUUAGGAUAGGAAAUAAAAGGGAGCCUUCUAGCCCUCGCAAACCUAAUAGCAUCGAAGGGGAUCGUAGACACCACUCCCAGGGAGCGGCGGGAUAAGGAAAUUGACUUUAAAAGCACUUUCCAAUCUGAUAUUUUUCGUGCCACCCGCGGAGUCGAGAAGGUCAAAUCUAUGUGCGAUUUCGUUUCGCGCCUGGUAAAAGUUGGAGAACUGUCAUUAAGUAUGAUAAGCUUCAAUCUGGCUCCUGCCUCAAGAAGAUAUUAACCUCGUUAUCCACUGAGAUAUUUAAAUUUAGAUAAU
This 1059-nucleotide long non-coding RNA is filed under the name Anthonomus grandis grandis. RNAcentral describes it as "uncharacterized LOC126740485". The record is from RNAcentral. Lineage: Eukaryota; Metazoa; Arthropoda; Insecta; Coleoptera; Curculionidae.